UAAAGGGAAUACAUUACCAACUGCUGCAUCACAACAUUGAACACCCUGACAUCGGAGGAGCAAAUCGUCUACCGAAGCCGGACAUCAGUGUGCAAAGACAUAGGAACCCGGUGGCGGAGACCUGCAAGCACACCUGGACCAAGCAUCGCCCACUCAUUCAAACCAACCUAUGACCCCUCAUGUACUGUAAAUGACCUGCCCCUUGACCUAUGGAAGAGCUUACAUUUCCCAUAGUACUGUAUUUGGACCCAUUGUAUAAAAGAGAGUCCUCCGGGCCAGGUUCAGGCUAUUCUAUGAAGGUCAUCUUGCUAAGACUGACUGAGUCCUGGAUCCGGGAGCGCUCGUGAACAAACGUAUGUACUAUUGGUUGUAGCUCUUCUCUGUAAUAUUGUUGUAUCUUUUACCUGUAUCUUUUGAGUAACUAUUGUUGAUGCUUUGGACCACAACAUAACAUUUAACUACUGGUGUCGCAUUCCAUUCUUGUUUGGGGAAUAAGGUGUAUUCAGCCACACGUGUCGCUGCAUUGUGCGCACAGCGUGACAGCAUGUAUACGCAACGUGCAUACAUAUCUCAGAGGUCAUUUACUUAUGUUUAGCGGCCGCAGCAGCUAUAACUCUAGUGUAACGAGGUAUUGCUUUUCCUUGUAAGGAAUUCGAACUUUACACCACACCGAAGUGCUGGCGAUAUCUACAAUGGAGGGCGGCGGGCAGCGGGAUGGGCAGCAAGAACCCCCAGGCCCCUCCAACAGGAUCGGGCCCGGGUAAAAUGUAGUUUCCCCCCUCUCUGCACCACUGCUGGUGGUAAUACAGAAAUCAUAAAAAUGAGCUACUGAUUAUGGCAUAUACAGUAUGACUGUACACAGGGCCAUAAUUAGGGUGGGGCCAAGUGUGCUCACCGCACAGCAUAUAUGCGACGCAUAUAUCCUGUGGGUGCAUACCUGCAUCCACCGUAAGAGACCCCGCUAGCACCCACAAUCGCAUCCACCCACCGCCAGCUGCCGCUGCCAGCUGUAAUGUAUACAUACAUAUAUACAUACAUUCAUUACAGCAGAGCUGCCCGCACAUGUGCUCCGCCCCCUCCCGGCUCCCCUGUUGGAACCAUAGGCAAACAUAGGGGGGGUUUCCUAACCACUUAUUUAUAUUAUUUAAAUAUGUUUGACACAGCCUAUACCAUAGACCAUCUGUAGCGCUAAAUAUUAAUUCUGUAUUCCAUAUAGUAUUCAGUGUAUAAAAAGACCAAUGUUUA
This is a long non-coding RNA of Pseudophryne corroboree (corroboree frog), 1245 nucleotides long. RefSeq lists it as uncharacterized. Lineage: Eukaryota; Metazoa; Chordata; Amphibia; Anura; Myobatrachidae. The transcript is spliced from 3 exons. The record is from RefSeq and is a predicted model, not a curated record.